AACGAACGCUGGCGGCAGGCUUAACACAUGCAAGUCGAGCGCCCCGCAAGGGGAGCGGCGCACGGGUGAGUAACGCGUGGGAACUUGUCCUCUGGUACGGAACAACCGAGGGAAACUUCGGCUAAUACCGUAUGAGCACUCUGGUCGAAAGGUUGGGGUGGAAAGAUUUAUCGCCAGGGGGAGAGGCCCGCGUCCGAUUAGGUAGUUGGUGGGGUAAAGGCCUACCAAGCCUUCGAUCGGUAGCUGGUCUGAGAGGAUGAUCAGCCACACUGGGACUGAGACACGGCCCAGACUCCUACGGGAGGCAGCAGUGGGGAAUAUUGGACAAUGGGCGCAAGCCUGAUCCAGCCAUGCCGCGUGAGUGAUGAAGGCCUUAGGGUUGUAAAGCUCUGUCGGAAGGGACAAAACGUUUGGAGUUAAUAGCUCCAGAUCUUGAUGGUACCUUUAAAGGAAGCACCGGCUAACUUCGUGCCAGCAGCCGCGGUAAU
This 488-nucleotide ribosomal RNA is filed under the name uncultured bacterium. RNAcentral's name for it is "bacterial SSU rRNA". It matches the Rfam family "Bacterial small subunit ribosomal RNA", at positions 29 to 524 of the family's 1533-position model. The record is from RNAcentral.